This 80-nucleotide non-coding RNA is filed under the name Bos taurus (domestic cattle). RNAcentral's name for it is "Eukaryotic large subunit ribosomal RNA". It matches the Rfam family "Eukaryotic large subunit ribosomal RNA", at positions 24 to 103 of the family's 3401-position model. Lineage: Eukaryota; Metazoa; Chordata; Mammalia; Artiodactyla; Bovidae. The record is from Rfam by way of RNAcentral. RNAcentral also lists the same sequence under 2 other names.
CCUGCUGAAUUUAAGCAUAUUGGUCAGGGGAGGAAAAGAAACUAACCAGGAUUCCCUCAGUAAGGGCCAGUGAACAGGGA